AGGAGGCAGCAGUGAGGAAUAUUGGGCAAUGGGCGCAAGCCUGACCCAGCGACGCCGCGUGGGCGAAGAAGGCCUUCGGGUUGUAAAGCCCUUUUCUGCCGGACGAGCGAGGACGGUACGGCAGGAAUCAGUCACGGCUAACUACGUGCCAGCAGCCGCGGUAAAACGUAGGUGGCAAGCGUUAUCCGGAAUCACUGGGCGUAAAGGGCAUCUAGGCGGUUGCGCAAGAUGCGUGUGAAAGCCUCCGGCUCAACCGGGGGAGGACAUGCAAGACUGCGCGACUCGAGGGUCGGAGAGGGACGCGGAAUUCCCGGUGUAGUGGUGAAAUGCGUAGAGAUCGGGAGGAACACCCGUGGCGAAGGCGGCGUCCUGGCCGAACCCUGACGCUGAAGUGCGAAAGCGUGGGGAGCAAACGGGAUUAGAUACCCUCGUAC
This 434-nucleotide ribosomal RNA is filed under the name uncultured bacterium. RNAcentral's name for it is "bacterial SSU rRNA". It matches the Rfam family "Bacterial small subunit ribosomal RNA", at positions 343 to 793 of the family's 1533-position model. The record is from RNAcentral.